RNAcentral lists this ribosomal RNA (301 nucleotides) under uncultured bacterium. Its description in RNAcentral is "partial 16S ribosomal RNA". It matches the Rfam family "Bacterial small subunit ribosomal RNA", at positions 509 to 807 of the family's 1533-position model. The record is from RNAcentral.
CAGCAGCCGCGGUAAAACGGAGGGUGCAAGCGUUAUCCGGAUUUAUUGGGUUUAAAGGGUCCGUAGGCGGACUUAUAAGUCAGUGGUGAAAGCCUGUCGCUUAACGAUAGAACUGCCAUUGAUACUGUAAGUCUUGAGUAUAUUUGAGGUAGCUGGAAUAAGUAGUGUAGCGGUGAAAUGCAUAGAUAUUACUUAGAACACCAAUUGCGAAGGCAGGUUACCAAGAUAUAACUGACGCUGAGGGACGAAAGCGUGGGUAGCGAACAGGAUUAGAUACCCCCGUAGUCCCUGUCUCUUAUAC